GACGAACGCUGGCGGCGUGCUUAACACAUGCAAGUCGAGCGGUAAGGCCCUUUCGGGGGUACACGAGCGGCGAACGGGUGAGUAACACGUGGGUGACCUGCCCUCAGCUCUGGGAUAAGCCUGGGAAACCGGGUCUAAUACUGGAUAUGACUCCAUGACGCAUGUUGUGGGGUGGAAAGCCUUGUGCGGCUGAGGAUGGGCCCGCGGCCUAUCAGCUUGUUGGUGGGGUGANGGCCUACCAAGGCGACGACGGGUAGCCGGCCUGAGAGGGCGACCGGCCACACUGGGACUGAGACACGGCCCGGACUCCUACGGGAGGCAGCAGUGGGGAAUAUUGGACAAUGGGGGCAACCCUGAUCCAGCGACGCCGCGUGGGUGAAGAAGGCCUGCGGGUUGUAAAGCCCUUUCGGUGGGGGAAGAAAAGUCUCGACCUAAUACGUCGGGACCUUGACGUAACCCACUAAAGAAGCACCGGCUAACUCUGUGCC
This 488-nucleotide ribosomal RNA is filed under the name uncultured bacterium. RNAcentral describes it as "bacterial SSU rRNA". It matches the Rfam family "Bacterial small subunit ribosomal RNA", at positions 28 to 509 of the family's 1533-position model. The record is from RNAcentral.